This 395-nucleotide ribosomal RNA is filed under the name uncultured bacterium. RNAcentral describes it as "bacterial SSU rRNA". It matches the Rfam family "Bacterial small subunit ribosomal RNA", at positions 448 to 835 of the family's 1533-position model. The record is from RNAcentral.
AACACGUACGAGAGUAACUGCUCGUACCUUGACGGUACCUUAUUAGAAAGCCACGGCUAACUACGUGCCAGCAGCCGCGGUAAUACGUAGGUGGCAAGCGUUGUCCGGAAUUAUUGGGCGUAAAGCGCGCGCAGGCGGUUCUUUAAGUCUGAUGUGAAAGCCCACGGCUCAACCGUGGAGGGUCAUUGGAAACUGGAGAACUUGAGUACAGAAGAGGAAAGCGGAAUUCCACGUGUAGCGGUGAAAUGUGUAGAGAUGUGGAGGAACACCAGUGGCGAAGGCGGCUUUCUGGUCUGUAACUGACGCUGAGGCGCGAAAGCGUGGGGAGCAAACAGGAUUAGAUACCCUGGUAGUCCACGCCGUAAACGAUGAGUGCUAAGUGUUAGGGGGUUUCC